Molecule: ribosomal RNA, 512 nt
Filed under: uncultured eukaryote
Lineage: Eukaryota
Description: bacterial SSU rRNA
Rfam family: Eukaryotic small subunit ribosomal RNA
Source: RNAcentral
UAGUCAUAUGCUUGUCUCAAAGAUUAAGCCAUGCACGUGUAAGAUCGUCUUGAAUAGCAAUAUUUACCGGCAAUCUGUGGAAAGCUCAUUAUAACAGUUACAAACUUGGCUUUCUAGCUUAAAGUUAAAAGGAUAACACAGUCAAAUGCAGUGAUAAUAUUUGAACCAAAGCUAAUGAAUUGUAUAGUUAGCGAAUAAUAGCGAAUAAGGGAAAAUACGCUAUAGUAUCUUCGGAUCGAUUGACCUCUUUAGAGGCCUAGGAGAAGUAUUUCUUACUUAUCAUGCUAGUUGUUUCAGUAAGGGUGAAACAAGGCCGUCACGGGUACGGAAAAUUGGGGUUUGACACCGGAGAGGGAGCCUGAGAAAUGGCUACCACAUCCAAGGAAGGCAGCAGGCGCGCAAAUUACCCAAUCCUGAUACAGGGAGGUAGUGACAAAAAAUAACAAUACCGGGCCUUUACGGGUCUGGUAAUUGGAAUGAGUACAAUUUAAAUCCCUUGACGAGGAACAAUU